This is an unclassified non-coding RNA of Papio anubis (olive baboon), 149 nucleotides long. It matches the Rfam family "Metazoan signal recognition particle RNA". From Rfam's summary of the family: The signal recognition particle (SRP) is a universally conserved ribonucleoprotein. It is involved in the co-translational targeting of proteins to membranes. The eukaryotic SRP consists of a 300-nucleotide 7S RNA and six proteins: SRPs 72, 68, 54, 19, 14, and 9. Lineage: Eukaryota; Metazoa; Chordata; Mammalia; Primates; Cercopithecidae. The record is from Ensembl.
GCUGGGUGUGGUGUUGUGCACCUGUAGUCUCAGCUACCUGGGAGGCUGAGGCAGGAGGAUUGCUUGAGCCUGGGAAGAUGAGGCUGCAGUGAGCCAUGUUCAUGCCACUGGUACUCUAGCCUGGGUGACAAAGCAAGACCCUGUCUCAA